This is a long non-coding RNA of Neogobius melanostomus (round goby), 1612 nucleotides long. Lineage: Eukaryota; Metazoa; Chordata; Actinopteri; Gobiiformes; Gobiidae. The record is from Ensembl.
AAAAUGAGUCUGGGAGCACAGGCAGAGGGAUCGGACAUGCAGGACUCGCUCACCUGGGUGCGUAGCUGCGUACAUGCCCGCUGCGAGUCGUGGAGCUGUGUCUCGAGCUCCCGCAGCAGCUGCCUCUGCACACACACCUGCUCCUGGAGCGCAGAGUUUUUCCCCUGAAGCUCCGACAGGGCUUUGUGAGAUUCUACAGACUGCACCUCCACCGUCUGGGUCACAUACUGCGGACGAGAAAAGGCAGGUGGCGCCGUGGCCUGCCGGCUCAGCUCCUCCUCGCACUCCAGUAUGCGGCGGCUCAGUUUGCCCUCGGCCUCGGUCUGGCAGCGCUCGGACUCCUGCAGCUGUCUGGUGGCCUGGUCCAGUUCGCGGUGAAGACUCUCCACUUUAGAGCUCUUCUCCUGGACCUCCAGCUCCAGCUCGGCCAGGCGGCGCUCCCUCUGCCGCGCCUGGCUCUCCCAGCGGGACACCUCCCUCUGAAGGGUCUCUGCAUUCUGCAAAACACAGAACAAAGUUUGCAAUCAUUGAGGUUUUGUGGAUUUAGGCAGAAGUCUCCGUCGUAUGGAAAACCUCAGUGAGAAAUUUUGCGAUAUAUUGUGCAGCCUUAUUAGAGGAAGUCAGAAAAUGCUCGUCCGGGCGUUUUUACCUGGCUGUGGGGGCAGUUGGGGCAGUUUUCGGAGGCGGGGUCGGAGCUCUUGCAUGUUUUCAGCUCCUGCUUCAGACGCUGGUUCUCGACCACCAGCCGCUCCAACUGCUUCUCCAGGUCUGUCGCCCCCUACAGGACAAACAUGUGCAACACUUGAACCCGGCAGUACUAAAGUGCUGUAGCCAAGGCCUGAAAAUAUUCACCAAGUUAAAUAAUAGUUCGAGCAAGCGAGAUCAAUAGUGGCAACAUCGACUAAAUGUAAUGACUGGUUUGUCGACGCUAGGCAGUAAAGUUGUGACAAACAGAACAUACGUGCACAUAUACAGACUUUAUUGUGGCAUCAGAUAAACCUAAUAAGUCUCCUGACAAAAAUACAACAAAAAUAGGCAAUCAUGUCUGUGAAAGCUCUCAUCCAGGAAUGUUCCAUCGAAGUUAAAGAUUUAUGACAGGUUUUAAUGCUUGUAUAUAUGACGAUGGAUAACAUCUGUUGUAAGUAAUAAUUAUCAGUGAAGCAACAAAAGAAAUGUUGGGAAAAAUUUUUAGUUUCAUUUGCAUUUUUAAGCUACUGACAGAAAGUGACAUAGUGCUAAAAGUUCCAUAGCAGCUUGGCUCACUCCUUGUAAAGGAGAAUUGGUUCUCAAUUGACUUACAUGGUAAAAUAAAUUAAAAAAAAGAAAUCCCCAUUGACAAAAUGGAUGGCACGGCAACAGUUUUAACACUUUGCCUCUAUCUCCAGUAUGUCACUUCCUGUCAGUGUCCAUUUAGGAAGUGAAACUAUAAACUAAAUGGUUAAACAAAACAAAAAAAGGUGUCCAAUGUGUCAUAUGCACUUUAAACAUGGUCGUCGAGACUGGGCUGAUCCAGUAGAGGACGUUUCGCUGCGAUCUUCAGAAGCUUCUGCCACUUGUAAUGACAUUUUCUUGGACAUUGCAUUGGUUAUUCGUUUCAGGGUUUUCAUGUUUG